UACGUAGGAUGCGAGCGUUAUCCGGAUUUAUUGGGUUUAAAGGGUGCGUAGGCGGGCUUUUAAGUCAGCGGUAAAAGUUCGGGGCUCAACCCCGUCCGGCCGUUGAAACUGGGGGUCUUGAGUGGGCGAGAAGAAGGCGGAAUGCGUGGUGUAGCGGUGAAGUGCAUAGAUAUCACGCAGAACCCCGAUUGCGAAGGCAGCCUUCCGGCGCCCUACUGACGCUGAGGCACGAAAGCGUGGGUAUCGAACAGG
This 252-nucleotide ribosomal RNA is filed under the name uncultured bacterium. Its description in RNAcentral is "partial 16S ribosomal RNA". It matches the Rfam family "Bacterial small subunit ribosomal RNA", at positions 524 to 776 of the family's 1533-position model. The record is from RNAcentral.